This 357-nucleotide unclassified non-coding RNA is filed under the name soil metagenome. Its description in RNAcentral is "partial contains 5.8S ribosomal RNA, internal transcribed spacer 2, and large subunit ribosomal RNA". The stretch from base 1 to 120 matches the Rfam family "5.8S ribosomal RNA", at positions 35 to 154 of the family's 154-position model. The record is from RNAcentral.
GAUGAAGAACGUAGCGAAAUGCGAUAAGUAAUGUGAAUUGCAGAAUUCAGUGAAUCAUCGAAUGUUUGAACGCACAUUGCGCCCGCUGGUAUUCCGGCGGGCAUGCCUGUUCGAGCGUCAUUUCAACCCUCAAGCUCUCCGGAGUUUGGUGUUGGGGCGCCUGGGGCUUUUCGACCUCAGGGCCCUCAAGUCCAUCGGCGGGACCGCCAGGACACUGAGCGCAGUAGUAUUAUUUCGCUCGGUAGGAUCUUCCACGGCGGGUCGAUCUGGCCGCUAAACCCCCCAAUUCUCACCAAAGGUUGAACUCGGAUCAGGUAGGAAUACCCGCUGAACUUAAGCAUAUCAAUAAGCGGAGGA